Long non-coding RNA from Oryzias latipes (Japanese medaka), 1348 nucleotides. RefSeq lists it as uncharacterized. The record is from RefSeq and is a predicted model, not a curated record. Lineage: Eukaryota; Metazoa; Chordata; Actinopteri; Beloniformes; Adrianichthyidae.
UACCUGCUGUCUUUAUGUCCAAUACUGACACCAACUAAGUGACAGGCAGACAGAAAGAAUACAUUGAUGGAAAAUGUCAAACAUCAAAAUGUCAAUUGUAAACUUGGGGUGACGAGAAGCAUUGAACUAACAGAAGCCUGUUGUAACCAGAUUUGAAUUUCAAACUGUAUCACAGGCUCAAGUGACACAGAUUUCUGAUUGGUUGAACACAGUGGGAGGGAAAACGCUGUGGCUGACGUCACUAACGGGCAGGAGACGGUAAGCGGCGGGAGAAGUGCAGAGAACGAGAGACUUUGGACUAGCGACUGUCGAAUGUUUUCUGUGUUUUAACAAUCCAUGGGAUGAAUCUUCAACAUUCAUAUUGCUUGUCUUUAAAAGAUUCAAGUAAAAACUUUGGAGUUUGCACGUGAUCUUCUGCUGGCCUACUUGGAGGAAAAGGAAGAUGCAAUGUUUUUCCAUGUGGAUGACGUGUGCCUUCCAGAAGAAGUAAAUACAGAUGACAUGAAUAUGACUCCUAAUCAUUGUAGUAUGCGUCAGCUGUCAGCUCUAUCAGAACAAAAUGGAAGAGUUUGGGAACAACAGCAACUCGGCCACCGACCACGGCAUUCCUGCCUUUCUGCAAGAAAGUUCAUGCUGAGUCUGGAUGGAAUUGUUGUGCAAGCCAACAAUACUUCCUUUAUCUCUCUGCUAUGCAUGAUGUUCCCAAACUACUAAACCUUCAACAUCCACCAUCCACCGGAGCUGGCAUCAACUUUGGAGUAUCUCCAGAGGACCCAGUGGAGCAUUCAUGAGCUUGUUAGCCGACACGGCAGAAGGCGAGUCUGUCUCCCAGAGUCCAGAUGAGAUUGAAGAAAAGGAGGAAGAGGAGGAUUUGUACAAGAAUUAAGAUAAAUGGAUAACCCGUCAAUGUAAGGAUCACGUCAUCUGGACCCCAUAGGAUAGCACAGAAGACAUCAACUAUCAUCAAAUUCUAAAAAGAGAGGAAUAGAAGAAGCCGACACCAACCGUGGACUGGCCUCAUCUUCAGAUUCCAGGUCAGUCAGCUCCAGAGCCACAGUCAGUGAGACGGCUACGCUUGAAGCCCAAACUACACACGAUGCACCCCAACAACCCUGCUGCUAAGAACAUUGGAACGACAGAACUCUGCAGGCCAUCAGGAUCUACUUCUGUAAAACACAAAGAGAACAUCUGAGUUCUGACGGAACCAUGAACCGGUCCAGUAUGUGGACUCUACUCUCUUUGGCCCUCUGGACGGGCAGGGGGAGCUUCCAUCCAUUUUCUAUUCCGUUUUUCCCUUUCGGGGUCACGGGGCUGUCGGAGCCUAUCCCGGCCACUUGUGGGCGAAGGC